This 465-nucleotide ribosomal RNA is filed under the name uncultured bacterium. RNAcentral describes it as "partial 16S ribosomal RNA". It matches the Rfam family "Bacterial small subunit ribosomal RNA", at positions 28 to 507 of the family's 1533-position model. The record is from RNAcentral.
GACGAACGCUGGCGGCGUGCUUAACACAUGCAAGUCGAACGGAAAGGCCCUGCUUGCAGGGUACUCGAGUGGCGAACGGGGGAGUAACACGUGGGUGAUCUGCCCUGCACUUCGGGAUAAGCCUGGGGAACUGGGGCUAAUACCGGGUAGGAGCCAUUUUUAGUGUGAUGGUUGGAAAGUUUUUUCGGUGUAGGAUGAGCUCGCGGCCUAUCAGCUUGUUGGUGGGGUAAUGGCCUACCAAGGCGGCGACGGGUAGCCGGCCUGAGAGGGUGGACGGCCACAUUGGGACUGAGAUACGGCCCAGACUCCUACGGGAGGCAGCAGUGGGGAAUAUUGCACAAUGGGCGCAAGCCUGAUGCAGCGACGCCGCGUGGGGGAUGACGGCCUUCGGGUUGUAAACUCCUUUCGCUAGGGACGAAGCUUUUUGUGACGGUACCUAGAUAAGAAGCACCGGCUAACUACGUG